GGUUUAAUUCGAAGCAACGCGAAGAACCUUACCAGGUCUUGACAUCCGAUGCUAUUUCUAGAGAUAGAAAGUUACUUCGGUACAUCGGUGACAGGUGGUGCAUGGUUGUCGUCAGCUCGUGUCGUGAGAUGUUGGGUUAAGUCCCGCAACGAGCGCAACCCCUAUUGUUAGUUGCCAUCAUUCAGUUGGGCACUCUAGCGAGACUGCCGGUAAUAAACCGGAGGAAGGUGGGAUGACGUCAAAUCAUCAUGCCCCUUAUGACCUGGGCUACACACGUGCUACAAUGGUUGGUACAACGAGUUGCGAGUCGGUGACGGCGAGCUAAUCUCUUAAAGCCAAUCUCAGUUCGGAUUGUAGGCUGCAACUCGCCUACAUGAAGUCGGAAUCGCUAGUAAUCGCGGAUCAGCACGCCGCGGUGAAUACGUUCCCGGGCCUU
Molecule: ribosomal RNA, 436 nt
Filed under: uncultured Streptococcus sp.
Lineage: Bacteria; Bacillati; Bacillota; Bacilli; Lactobacillales; Streptococcaceae
Description: bacterial SSU rRNA
Rfam family: Bacterial small subunit ribosomal RNA
Source: RNAcentral